This 1779-nucleotide long non-coding RNA is filed under the name Pelobates cultripes (western spadefoot toad). The record is from RNAcentral. Lineage: Eukaryota; Metazoa; Chordata; Amphibia; Anura; Pelobatidae.
CGCCAUGCUAACAAACAGAGGGUUGCAGCUGUCCCUGCCACUCAUGAUGGAAAAUCCCACAUCACCUUGUAUCUAGAGUGACUUAAUAUAACAUAUUCUACGGAAGGAAACUGCAAUAUGCCACUCGCCAGCUGGUGUUUGAUUUAUAAUCCCAACAACUGUAGCAAUAGAAAGACAACAGAAGAAAACUUUGACCAUCCAGUUUAGGAAGGAUCAAAACUUCUGUUACUCCUAACAAAUCAGAGGAUGACAAAGUUAAGGAUCUGCCACACUGAUCAACUAGUCUAUACAAGCCAAAUGCUGGCAUUGCGUGGCAGUGAGACAAACUUGAUUUCUCUAAUUACUACAAAGGUCGGCCUAGUGCAACUGUGGGCUGUCAUCAAACACCCAACAAGAGUACAGCAGGAACUUUCUUUUUUUUAAGACUAAAAACUGGAAAAGAGGACAAGAAAAUGAGAGGGAAAAUGAACACCAUAGUUAUCCCAUUACUUCCUCCCAUGUAUCAGAAGAGAAUACCACAAAUGUAUUUUCACAAUAGCCUGUAUCUGCAGUCCUAUAAAGAAAAUAAAUAAAGCGUGUGUAACGGAUCGCCUGGCACCCGACUGGGUACCUCCGUUGAAGGAUGCUCCUAGCGCUUCCUGAGGACUCCAAGCACUGCAGCAGACACCACAACCACUGAACCGGAGAGCUAGUACUCCCCAGACCCAUGGUGGAGCCCCUGGACAUAGACAAACUACCCACUACCCCAGAUACAGUAACUUUUCAUUGUGGGUGGGCUGCACUACUGACUAUGUUUUGUGGGUGGGUUGCUGGACUAACCAAGGCACUGACCGACAGGAGGUCAGAUACCUUGUUAGUCUUUUUGGAAAAGGGGAGAAAUGUGGCGAACCCGUCCCUCGCCCAUGGGCAUUGGAGAAGACUGAUUGCCAGCCUCCUGCCAUGUGACCAUGGCCCCUGGGAUGUAUUGCCCUUUAAAGACAUGAUUUGGGCAUAAUGGAUUUGUGUUGCGCUGCUGCUGGCCCUUUAAUAACCAUCUGGGGACAUACUGUGGAGUUACUGGGUGGCCACCAUUUCAUGUAUCAGAGGCACAUGGUGAAAACAAUGGAUGAAGCACAUGGUGAGAACAAUGGAUGGCGGCCAUUUUAACUCACAGACACUGUUUGGACUUUUCUACACGGUGCCAUCUCGCCAGUAUUUGGUGCACAGAGACAUCGUGCAGUGGUUUUGGACUAUACAACAGGGGACACAUUAUACAGUAAUUGUUUUUCAUAUAGCCUGUAUAUGUUCUGCAGAAUCUGCAUUAAACUGUAUCUUCCAAAGUACUGAACGGAUCUGGGUGAAUUUUGGAUAUGUGGUUCACCCAGAUCCCCUGGUUCAAAUGCUAUACUUUUUAUUGCAUGUUUUGGGGUCUCUGUGAUGUGUUUUAUGAUACUGUAUUUCUCUGCCGGUGAUAAUUACAUUACCCAUUGUGUAAGGUAAUUGUAUCACAGGCAGAGGGGAGGAUUUUGUGUGGGAGUGUCUGAGUGUAUUGUACGUGUUUAUUGGUUGUUUUCAAAAACCCUGUGGGCAGUACUACGUUUGUGGAUUGUGAAUAAAAGAGGCUGUAUGUGCCAGUACAGUCAGUUCUGCUUGACCUCAAAAUGAAGUGUCGUCUCAUUAUUGGGGGAAUUGGAUUGUAUGCUGAUUGCCAGGAGUGUAAGCAGAUUGUAUGCUUUUCCUGUUCAGCUGCUUAAAGCAUUCAUAUGCUUGAGAGCAUUCAUAUGCUCCUAUGGUUCGGUG